This is a long non-coding RNA of Oncorhynchus masou masou (cherry salmon), 9807 nucleotides long. RefSeq lists it as uncharacterized. Lineage: Eukaryota; Metazoa; Chordata; Actinopteri; Salmoniformes; Salmonidae. The record is from RefSeq and is a predicted model, not a curated record. The transcript is spliced from 4 exons.
CAACUUCCGGUCCUCAGAUGGUUCUCAGGAAAAACAAAAUCGAAUGAGAUUACUUUCGAAAUGGGCGUCUUUGACGUUGUUUCCUAAAUGUAUCUAGAUUCCGUAGUUUUGCAGAUCAGAGACUUCACGAGUUUACGUUCUAGCUAAUGCCAUAGCCAACCAAGGAGCACCUGUCUUUUCCCAGAUAACUGAAGGCGUCUGGAUAUGAUCUGCAGUUGCAGAUGAACUUCUUGUCCAAGCUCUCCUGGAAGUUGACAACAUGGAGAAGAGUUGGGACAGCAUAGAUGAAGCAGGAGACUACUCAACAGAUGAAACUAGAAAUAUACCAAGCCAUUCAUGUCAGAAAAUCACUGAACACAAGGGAGCAGAAGGGGGAGAAGAGGUCCUGACUUACAAAACAUAUAAGAAGAAUAUGGCCGAAUUUAAGGUGAAGAAUGAAGAUGACUCUAGUCCUUUUUCGGACAUCCACAGUCAUUCAAAGAUCAUGGCUCAAGAUCUUCAACGAGGGGCAACAGAAGUCAUCCAAGAUAAGUGUUCCCCUUUCUUAGAAGGAUUAUGCCCUGUGGGCCUAACCAAUGUUCAGGAAAGUUGUAUUUUGACUUCUGAAUUUGAUGUAAAAAAGAAGACCGGUAGAGAUUCUGCUGCAGUGGGGAUCGGUACUAUAGUUUCUUUCUCCCCCUUUUCAAGCAAUCUGUCAAAAAAUAUAAAGGGAACUGUCACACAGUCAACCAUAGACCUUGAGUUACAGCAAUCUUCUUUAUCAGACUCUUCUCUAAGUGACCCCGGACAAUAUUCAAGAGCGGUAGUGGAUGAGAAAGCCUAUGCUGAUGUAUCCCAUCAAAUGUUACCACUUUCGGAAACCAAAAAAGGAAAAGAGAAAAUAUCCUUUCAUUCACUUUUGCCUGUGAUGGAAAAGCAACAAAAGCGAAAAGUUGGUCAGCCAUAUAAGAAAACUCUAGUGAAAAUGGCUAAACUUUCAGCAAUUGCCCAAGAAUGGGAUUCAGAUGCCACAGAAAUAUCCAGGGUGACUCGCAAUAAGGAUAAUCGAACACCCUCAUGCAAACAAACAGAUGAGAAGAAAAAGGAUGAAAUGUUAGAAUUUCCCCCAACUACCUCAAGUGCCACAUGCUUUGGAUGCAAUUCAACAUCUGAUUCUUCAAACUACCUUACUAUUUCACAUUCAGAUGACAUAAUAUCUAAAUCUCAAAUAACUGGACAAAGCAUUUCUAAGGAAUUUAUCCAACCGCCCAGAGGACAGAGAACUUCAAAGACUACACAAAAAGCAGAAGAAGAAGUCCCGGCGCUGAAAUUGACCACUGCCGCAGAGGGGAAAGAUUCUCCUAUAGUACAAGCUCUGGCACAAAACACAUUGGUGCUGUCUGAAACUGUCUGCUCAUUUGAUGAUAACACAGAGGAUGCAUUGAAAGUACAAAAGAUACCUGGAAAAAAUACAGCAAUAACGUCCAAAGCAGGAAAUAGAAGGACUCAGGCGUUCAAAAGAAACAGAAUGACUCCGAGCAGCCUCUUGACCACUCAGUCACAGAGUAGCAGCGCUACACCCCAAGAAAAUUGUAAUUUGGGAGUCUCUCAAGAUGCAACUCCACUACAAUCAUCUGACAUAAAAAUGGAGCCUAAAUACUUGUAUAUAAAAACAGAGCCCACUGGUGUCUUGGAUGUCAAGAACAAUUUGAAGGAACACCGAAAAAGAGAACCCUCCAAAAACUUUACAGAAGGGAAUGGUAAAAGUCCUGGUGUGAUGUCUAGAUGCUUUGACUUGUCUAUCACUCAAAAAGACCAGGGGGCACCAAGUGACAUAAGGAGGGAAAUCAAAUAUGUCACUGCUAACACAUCAGCUGUAGGAAACCAGGGGGAAAUGACUCCGAGAACUCAAGCUCUCUCAGGACUGAAGAGUAUUGAGGAUGUGCUGAAAUUGAAGCGGAAAGCUGGUCGACCAUUCAAGAAAAAGACAUUGUUUAAAAUGGCUAAACUGCUAGCGAUAGCACAGGAAGGUGGAUCUAAUGAUACGGAGAACUGUGGCAUGAUUGAAGAGUGUGUUCCAAAAUUCCAGCAGGUCCCUGCCUAUCACUCCCCCAAGUCAAAAGUAAAGAAGAUGGAUACAAGAACCGAGGCAUCAAAUUCACCUACAAGCACCUCAAGAAAAUCCAGCAGAACGUGUAAAGCGACCCCAAAAACUGUUCAAAAAAUGCAAAUCCUCACACACACGCCCACCCAACCAGUGUUACCAGUUUCAUCCUAUCUUAUUGAACCCAUUCUCAAAUUGGAGGACACAACUCUUAUCUCACCGUUGUCUGUCAUUCCUCUAUGUAGUGCAGAUAUUUCCCCUCAACAGGAAAGUCACAGAGGUGGAAAACCCCUGAAGAAAAACACACCAUUUUACAAAAACAUGACCACUGCAGUCCCACAUCCUCCAAUAUUUGCACUAGAUUCCAAGGCGCUUGCUGAGAUUGCCUCUACAGGGAAUGACAAAGAAACAAAGAAAGACAUUGGAUCCAAAAGUAAAUGCAAACGGGUGCCUAGAACUCGUGGUGUAUCAGAAUUACCGUGUACAAAUGGAAUUCCUCAGGGAGAUAUACAUACCCAGACUAAUAGGGAUGAGGUGUAUUCCAAGACUUCAGCACCUACAGUGCCACACUCCCAGAAAUCACGGAAACGUGGGGUUCAACAUAAAAAAGGUACAGAAAAGGCACUUGUCCUAUUAUCUGAUCAAACUGCCCUUCCUGUUUCAGAUUGCCAGUUGCAGGUGCAAAAUCACAGUGCAUCUCAGGAAACGCCUUUACUGCCAUCAAAGAUUGAGACAGAAUCUGACACUGUAUACCCGACACCGAGAACGGUUACAAAGAAUAUUCCAAAGAUGUGUAAGGCAAGAAACAAACCUUUACUGAAAGUUGAGAAAGCACAGUUGCCAACUCUGGAUCCUUCCCUUGUAGUCGAACAUAUGCGUCCCGAUGUGCCAGAAGUGGAUCAAAUGAGACAAGUGGAAGCAGUGAUAGAGUCAGUAAUUAAAGAUGUUCACCAACCACUGGAACAUGUGGAUCAAAGAAACAAAAAUAAAGAAGAAGCCAGCAAUGUUUCUGCAUCAACUCUGGAUUCUUCACUUGGAAUGGAACAUAUGCGUCCUGAUGUGCCAGAAGUGGAUCAUACAAGACAAAUGGAAGCAGUGAUGGAGUCAGUGACCGAGGAUCUACACAAAAAAGAGGUCAGUGAUGUUUCUGCAUCAGCAUACUCAACCUUUCCUUCCUCAGAUAACCUGUUUGAACAACAUGACCAUAGUACAUUAUCUCAAUCGCCUUUGCUGACAUUAGAAAUAAAGACAGAAUCGGGUAGAAUCAAGAAUGCCCUACCCAAAAAGUCGAAAAUAUGCAUGAAAGAGAAACAUACGUCAAAAGGCCUAUUGAAAAAUCAUAAGAAAGCAUCUAUGCCAACUUCAGGUCCUUCAUCUGACACAGUGCAUGCGCCAUCCAAAAGAGUUAAGAAGAAUUCCACUACUUGUCAAGAAAGAAAAAGAUCUUCACAGAAAGUUGAGAAAGCACAGGUGUCAACUCUGGAUAUAAACUACUCUGGAGAGAAACAUAGAAGUCCUGAAAUCCCACAAAUGGAUGAAAUGAGACAUGUGGAAGCAUUUAUAGAUGCAGUGAUUGAGGAUCUCCACAAACCACUCAAACCUAAGGAUCAACAAAAAAAGUUAAAAGAAGAGACUGAUAAUGUUGCUCCAUUAGAACCAACAACCUUUCCUGCCUUGGAUAACCUGUUGGAACAGCAUAACCAUAGUAAAUUACCUCAAUCUUAUUUUCUGUCAUCAAGAAAGAGAAAAUCAGGCUUGAAACAUGCCGUUCCCAAAACGGCAACAAAGAAUAAGUCAAAAGCAUGCUUUAAAGGGAAACUCUCUGAAACUGAUAAGAAAGCAGCUGUACUAACUUCCGAUCCUUCUAUUGGAGGUGAAGAUGGAUAUCUUGAAAUGCCUCCCCACCUUAAUCAAGCAGAGAAAGGAGGAAAGAGUGAUGGAAAGAACAAUAAUGAUGUAGUAAAGCAUGAAAUAUCAAUGACAGAUGACCAUUUGGAAACAGCAGCCCACAAACCACAUCAGCGUAAAGGGCCAAGAAAGAAGCUAAAAAAAGAAGACUGUAGUGUUUCCAAACCAGAUCAAGUAGAAUCCACUAUCUCAGACAGCCAGCUAAAACAGCAUGACCACAAUGCAUUAGAGCAUGUUUCUUUGCUAGCAUCAGAGACAAAGACAGAAUCAGGAAUGGAACAUAUCAUACCUGAAAUGGCAACAACAAAUAAGUCAAAAUCAUCCAGGAAAAGAGACCUCCCUAUAAAAGCACCCCCAGCAAACGCUAAAAGAGCAGCUAUGCUAACUUCAAAUCCUUCUCUUGGUGCAGAAGUUGGAUGUCUUGAAAUGCCUCCCCACCUUAUCCAUGCAAAGCAAGGAGGAAAGUGUGAUGGGAAAAGCAAUAACAAUGUAGUUAAACAUAAAAAAGAAACAGUGACAUCAGUGAUGGAAAAACAUAUGGAAACAGAGCGCAAACCACGUAUGGGGUCAAAAAAGAAUCUGAAAGAAGAGGACAGCAAUGUUUCCAUAUCAGAACAAGCAGCAACGCUUACCUCAGAUAAACAUCCCAACCAAGUUUCUUCACUGGCAUCAGAGAUCAAGUCAGAAUCUAACAGUGGAUGUGUCACACCCACACAAAAAAAGUAUAUUUCAAAGGCAUACAAGAAAAGGAAGAUGACUCCAACCCCACCAAGUUCAAAACUUUCUCUUGGAAUGGAAUAUGGAUACUCUGAAAUGGCUACCAAUUUCACACAUGUGGACCAGGUUCAGAAUAUUCUUGAUACUUAUAAAAUCUCCAAAGUGAGAAAAAAAAUCACUGGAUCAAGCCGUCCAAUAUCCAAUCGAAGAAAUUCCAGACUGCCCUACACAUCUAAUUCACAUAUCACAACUGAGUCGAUGCAAGAUCAAGUAAUUCUAUCGGUUGCAUCAGAUCUCACCAAUAACCCUACCAGUCCUGUAUCAAUAACAGUGUCCUCAAUUGCAGUGCAAGGACAGAUUACUGAAUUACUGAGUGCUGACUGUACAGAGAAACGGUCACAUAAAAUGAGGACUCCUAAGACGAUAACACCUCAGAGACCAAAAGGCACAGGUCUUGAUAAGAAUAUCACAGAUGACAACAUGUCUCUCAAAUUCUUGUCAACAUUUGUAAAAGAGGAACUCAUUGAGGAAGAAAAAAGCCCAGAAAAUAGGGGGAAAGAAGACGGCAAAGGGAAGAAAGGCAAAAUUCUCAAAAUAGAUGAUGUGAAUCCACAAAGUAAACACAGCCAAUCUCAGGUGAAGGAUGGCAAUGCAUUAACAGAUGACAAAUUAAUUUUACAAGUCCCUAUAGAUGAAGCAGGGUGCUCUAUGUCUAUUGCAAUAGACACAAUCAGUACUGUGAUUCCAAAACGUAAAAAAGGUGGUCGUUUUUCCAAGAGAUUGCAAAAAAUGUCAUCUACCACCAACGUUCCCAGUGAACAGCAAUGGAUUAAUAUGUCCCCUGAAAAAACAUCUCUGUGUGUCAGCAAUAUAUCAGAAAUACAAAGAAAGCGAAAAGUUGACACCAGAAGCACUGAUUUUGUUAAUGCAGAUAUAGAAGUCCUAAAUCCUAAAGAUGAUCUUAGUGAUAGCUCUGUAUUAGUGGACUCGUCCUUACUGGAGAAUCAGAGAAUGAAGGACAAGGGUAAGAAAAAAUCCAAGACAAUUACGGAAGAACCGACAGUGGCCACAUCAGUUGUAAAAGAGAUGGUGGGGCAAGAUUUUCAGACCACCAUAACAGCACUGAAAAAUAAACAAGGUCGGCCAUUCAAGAAAAGAACUUUGAGAAUGGCAAAACGGCUGUCAUGUGGAGAGCAGAAGUCAAACACUAGCGGGGAACUUUCUGUGAAUAAGACACUGAGCUGUAAAUCAAAGGGAACUUCUAAGGGAGGGAAAAAGCGCAAUUUGAACCCGGCAUCGUCAACCUUAAUAAGGCGCACUAAAGCAUCCAAGGCAAUGAAGAUUGAAGACAUUGCUCUUAAACAAGAGCAAGAUGACAUAUGGGAGAUCAUUGAUGUAUCCAGCAACAUUUUCUCCUCACAAACUGUGACUAUUUCCCCCAGUAUUUCAGGGCAAGAAUUUGAAACCUCCAUAUCUUCAGAAACAAUGUUCUCUGUUGAUGCAGGGCCGAAACAAGGAAUCCAGCAAAUUGAAUCUACCCAAUUAACACCCCAUCUCACAAAAUUACCUCAUAAAGUGAAUCGCGUGAAGAAGAGACGCAGGCGAAAUAAAACUGGAUGGGCUACAAAAGUUAAAUCCAAACAACCACUCUCCAAAGUGAACUCCGGGGAUAGGCUUGACGUUUUGAUUCAGUCUACCAUUGACAACACUGGACUCAACACUAGCCUCUGUAAUUCGUUAAUGGAAAAAUACACAUUGGAAAGUGUUGAACAAGAAGAAUGUAGAGCACAAGAAGUGAAAGCAGUAGCAAACGAUUACAAUGUAGUUAAUGUUAGGGAUAUCAACUGUGGAGAUCAACUCCUAACAGCUCGUGCUAAAUUACAGCAUUCAAGUGUACUUCAACAACAUUUUAAGACAAGGAAACCAAUGUCAUGCCACUUCUGUGGUCGCUCAUUUCGUCACAUAUCAGCAUACACAAUUCACAAGCGCAUUCACACAGGGGAGAAGCCUUACAGGUGCCAGAAGUGCGGCAAGAGCUUUGCUCAGCUCUCCAAGCUCAACUCGCACUCAAACAUCCACAAACAACAUGGACUCAUGCAAUGCCCAUGUUGCGUCACUCAGUCUCCAAACAAAGAUGACUUGAUUGAUCAUUUAAAGAUCCACAUGAAGGGCACCAAGCGGUUCAGUUUAAUUAAUAAAACGAGAAGAGCCAGAGAAAUUCAGAUUCAAUCUUGCGCUGAUUAUAUAGAUUCCCCAGUCUCUCUUAAUGGCAGGAAAACCCUUAGAUGCUCCACUUGUUUCAAAUAUUUUUUCAGCAAGGCCACAUUGAAGAUGCACCUGCAAACACACAGUGGAGUGAGUCGUUUCACCUGCAAAGUCUGUGGCAAGAUGUUUAGCAAGUUCUUAAGUUUCAAUGCACAUGAAAAAACACACUGGCCUGUUAAACCGUAUGCCUGCUCUGUGUGUGGAAAAGGCUUUGUUCUGCUUAGGGAGCUUAAAACCCACUCUCAUAUGCACUCAGGAGAGAUGCCUUUCUUCUGUAACCACUGUGGUCAGGCCUUUAGCGUCUUCUCAUCCUUGCGCACACAUCAAGUCUCCAAAGUGUGUUUUGAGGCUAGAUAUGAAGGAGAUGGAAACAAGGUUGACAUUGAGGGGUUCCUGGUGGAGCAAAGGACUGAUGGGCAGAUUAAUACCCCGAUGUACUUUAAAUGUCAGAUUUGCAAACAACUUAAUCGUCACUGGUGUCAGUACAUUCUUCAUCUACAAACGCACACUAAUAACAGGCAAAACCUUUGUGACGUCUGUGGACAACGGUAUGACCAGGUCACGGAAUUAUGUGUUCAUUGUAAAGUUUGUUGCAAAUCAAGUGGAGAGGAGAGGGCAUGCAUUUCGUCCUUGUCACAGGUCUGGUAUGAACCCCAAUCUCUGCAGAAUCAGACGCCUGAGCCUGAAAUUGAUUCUCUGUACAAUGAUAGUCAGGAAAUGUUAUCUUUGGAUGACCAGCAUCCCCAAUGUAAGGAGCCUGAGCCUCUGUCACCUCCGGAAACUAUGGAGGAGUAUUCCUCAGAUGUGCUUCCACAAAACCCCAAACCUGCUUGCCAGACCCCAGACCCCAGACCCCAUCCUUCUCCCUCAAACUCCAUGUGUGUAAGUCCUGCUCUAUCUUCCCCUUCUGUAAUGAGCUGUAAUUCCGUACGUGUGGUUCAACAGCCUACAGGUGUUCGCUCUUGUUUACAGACCCAUGCCCCCUUUGACAGGUAUUCAUGUGGACAAUGUGGAAAAUCCUUUAACCAGUGGAACAAGCUCUGGUUGCAUCAGGGACUACACAGAGAAAAACGCUGUAGCUUCUCAUGCAAUCAGUGCAAUUUAGAGUUUCGCUUCUUUGGCUCCUAUAGGGAGCACAUGCAGGAACAUGCAGCACAGAGACCCUAUGGUUGUCCAUUAUGUCCCAAAACCUAUGUCAUUGAAGAAGACCUAAAUACCCAUCUGUGUGAAAAUCACCAGCCGCGUGAAAGCCUGAAAUGUGACACGUGUGGAAAGGAGUUCACCGGUUUCAGAAACUUGGAGAAACAUCGUCUUUUACACAGAGGCGCUAGCUCUCACUACUGUCUCCCUUGCAUGCUCCCAUUUCCUAGUAACCAAGCCUUACAGAAUCACUUGAAGGCUCACGAAGCCCGCCCUGUUAUCCCUCUCCCUGAAGGGCCAUUGGAACCACUUCUAUUUCCAUAUCGCUGUGGAAAAUGUAAUGCCAGAUUUACAACCACAGACUUGCUCCAAGCCCAUCAGGUUUGCCAUCUUAUUGGGGGGAAAAAAGCAUAUAGCAGCAGUUCAGCUAAUUAUGUUUCUGCAUCCCUUACCUCCAAGCUUUCAAACAAGCCAAGACAGAGAGUCACGCUGCUAUCCCCUCAGACAAUACCAAUUCCUCCGUUAAAGAAAAGGAACAUGUAUAGGUAUCCUAACCCUGAUCGUCUUUAUGUCGUACCUAAAAUAUCCUCACAGCCAUCAGUCAUUAUUUCAGACACAGAAGAAGAGCCUCAAGAGCUUCUAAACAUUAGCUUAUCCUCAGUCUAUGACACACCCUGUAACACUGUGUCUCUUGAACAUGAAGGGCAAAUCAUCCCUAGCAAUGAUUGUUGUGAGGCAAGCAACUCCGAUUUACCUCAGCCCUCAUAUCCCUCCUCAUGUGUUCUUACUGAUGAACCGACUCAAUGUACACCAAAGCCCCAAACAGACACCACACACAUGCCGACACAUGAACCACCCUCACCCUGUCCCCUGGAUAAAGGUCCUCAGAAUGCACCAGCCCAAAUACGAGACAAGUCUAAGGGUGAUCAUGAUGCUUUCUUUAGAGCCUCAACAUUUGUGAUACCAAGUGGCAAAAAGUGGGGGUAUGAUGCCUUUGAGUGUGCGGAUUGUUGGGUAACAUUUAGUGACAUCUCAGAGCUACAUGAGCAUUACAUACAUCAUGCCAGGGGGGUGAAGUGAAUGUCAAUACAUAUUUUCACAAUUCCACUAUUGUAUAUAAUUGCUUUUGAUGAUAUUGGUCAUUUACAUCUGAAGAGUACGAUAUCUGUUUCUGAGUUAACCAUAAUUGUCUUAAUAGCUAUAGCAAUGGUUAAAGGAAUAAUCCACACAAAACCCCUAAUUACUAUGAUUUACAUUGUUAAAUAACGCCUUUUGCAUUUUGUCGUUAUAAGGCAGGAAGCAACAUAUGAUAAUUGUUGUAGGAAUCUGUUGGAGCUCUCUCUGGACAGGAUUGCUGGCUAGCUACAAAACAUAGCUACACACGAUAAUAUCAAAAUCAAUAUCAGCAUAUGAAGUAGCUAGUCAGCUGUAAAAUCCCUGAAACACACUGUGCUAUUCAUUUUAGGAGUUACAAUCUCACCAUGUUCAACCUGGUUGAGAUUAUCUUGCUCAAAAUUGUGAGUGGGGUUGCUAUGGCAACGCAAUGACCCUGCCUGCACUGCGAAGGUCGCUUUGCUUUGCGUGAUGGUAGUUAAAGGACAUUGAUCUGACAGUGCACUUUGAGUUUGAAUGAAAUAUAUACAGUGCCUUGCGAAAGUAUUCGGCCCCCUUGAACUUUGCGACCUUUUGCCACA